This 303-nucleotide ribosomal RNA is filed under the name uncultured bacterium. RNAcentral describes it as "bacterial SSU rRNA". It matches the Rfam family "Bacterial small subunit ribosomal RNA", at positions 28 to 334 of the family's 1533-position model. The record is from RNAcentral.
GAUGAACGCUAGCGGGAGGCCUAACACAUGCAAGCUGAGCGGUAUUUGUCUUUCGGGACAGAGAGAGCGGCGUACGGGUGCGGAACACGUGUGCAACCUGCCUUUAUCUGGGGGAUAGCCUUUCGAAAGGGAGAUUAAUACCCCAUAAUAUAAUGAGUGGCAUCACUGAUUAUUGAAAACUCCGGUGGAUAGAGAUGGGCACGCGCAAGAUUAGAUAGUUGGUGAGGUAACGGCUCACCAAGUCGAUGAUCUUUAGGGGCCUGAGAGGGUGAUCCCCCACACUGGUACUGAGACACGGACCAG